Molecule: long non-coding RNA, 895 nt
Organism: Gallus gallus (chicken)
Lineage: Eukaryota; Metazoa; Chordata; Aves; Galliformes; Phasianidae
Source: Ensembl
CUGAUAAGGAUUUUCAAGGGAACCAGCCUAUUUACCACGCUACUAUUGUUAGACUUUUGCUUAGCACACACUAUGGGCUCCAAACUGCCAGAUGUGAAGUGUGAGAUUGGUGCCAGAAAGUGUACUGUUGGCACCAACAGACCACUUUGUCACAAUUCUACUGUGCUGGGCUAAGUUCUUCGGGAAUAAGUUUAUCUUUAAUAGAAAAUUUCAGCUAUAGCAUGACCCUAAAGGAUGUUUCUUUACAGGACAAAUGCAUAUCCUGUAGGGUUUCUGCUUUGGUAGUGCUGUUCUCCCCUGCUCUAUCAAGUCUGGAGGUUGGAAGGGGAUGCUAUUCUUAGGUGGUAACAAUUGCAUUUAGAUGCUGAGUGCUUCACUGCUUUUUAUUAUUGUUUUUUUCCUGAGAGAAAAUGCAUACAGAGGAUGAUCAGAAAGAGUUGUGGUUGAAAGUUGAAGGCAGAUGGCUGAGAACAGAGAACAACGUGGACAAGGAAGUCCAAAGGAGCACAUAUUGAUGUCAAACAAAGAGAACUGGGCUAUCUCCUGCAUUUUAUUCCUGCCACCUUUCUCAAAAUUGAAUGAAAGUAUGAAAACAAGACUAAAACACAGCAAAUGAAAACAUCUACAGGAGAACUGCUUUUAGCAGAGUGCUUCAAGCAGCAAGUUUGAGUUUGCGAACGGAUUGAAACGCAAUCCACAGUCGGGGGGUGAACAGACAGACACUUCCGAAAGGAGAGGAGAAAGGUUGGAGGAGACGAUUAGAGAUCCAGGCACGCGCGCAGUAACACCCUCCCUGCACCAGCCGAGCCGCCAGUCCCCUCUCUGCGGGAGCUGCUCGGAUCCACCGCGCCGAACAGGGCUCCGCAGGGCCCCCCGCGGCGCUGGCAGAGCGGGG